UACGUAGGGGGCAAGCGUUGUCCGGAAUUAUUGGGCGUAAAGAGCGCGUAGGCGGUCCGAUAAGUCGGCUGUGAAAGUCAGGGGCUCAACCCUUGAAAGCCGGCCGAUACUGUCGGACUAGAGUCCGGAAGAGGCAAGUGGAAUUCCCGGUGUAGCGGUGAAAUGCGUAGAUAUCGUAAGGAAGACCAGUGGCGAAGGCGGGUCUCUGGACAGUUCCUGACGCUGAGGCACGAAGGCCAGGGGAGCAAACGGG
RNAcentral lists this ribosomal RNA (253 nucleotides) under uncultured bacterium. Its description in RNAcentral is "partial 16S ribosomal RNA". It matches the Rfam family "Bacterial small subunit ribosomal RNA", at positions 524 to 776 of the family's 1533-position model. The record is from RNAcentral.